UACGUAGGUGGCAAGCGUUGUCCGGAUUUACUGGGCGUAAAGAGCGCGCAGGCGGUCGUUCAAGUCGCGUGUGAAAGCCCCCGGCUCAACUGGGGAGGGUCACGCGAUACUGAUCGACUCGAAGGCAGGAGAGGGAAGUGGAAUUCCCGGUGUAGUGGUGAAAUGCGUAGAUAUCGGAAGGAACACCAGUGGCGAAAGCGACUUCCUGGUCCAAUACUGACGUUCAUGUGCGAAAGCGUGGGGAGCAAACAGG
RNAcentral lists this ribosomal RNA (253 nucleotides) under uncultured bacterium. RNAcentral describes it as "partial 16S ribosomal RNA". It matches the Rfam family "Bacterial small subunit ribosomal RNA", at positions 524 to 776 of the family's 1533-position model. The record is from RNAcentral.